This 438-nucleotide ribosomal RNA is filed under the name uncultured Eubacteriales bacterium. RNAcentral describes it as "bacterial SSU rRNA". It matches the Rfam family "Bacterial small subunit ribosomal RNA", at positions 939 to 1382 of the family's 1533-position model. Lineage: Bacteria; Bacillati; Bacillota; Clostridia; Eubacteriales. The record is from RNAcentral.
AUGUGGUUUAAUUCGAUGCAACGCGAAAACCUUACCCACCUUUGACAUGGCAGGAAUCCUAAAGAGAUUUGGGAGUGCUCGAAAGAGAACCUGCACACAGGUGCUGCAUGGCUGUCGUCAGCUCGUGUCGUGAGAUGUUGGGUUAAGUCCCGCAACGAGCGCAACCCUUGCCAUUAGUUGCUACGAAAGGGCACUCUAAUGGGACUGCCGGUGACAAACCGGAGGAAGGUGGGGAUGACGUCAAGUCCUCAUGGCCUUUAUGUCCAGGGCUACACACGUGCUACAAUGGGUUGUACAAAGGGUUGCGAACUCGCGAGAGUAAGCCAAUCCCAAAAAGCAACUCUUAGUUCGGAUUGGAGUCUGCAACUCGACCCCAUGAAGCUGGAAUCGCUAGUAAUCGUGGAUCAGCAUGCCACGGUGAAUACGUUCCCGGGCCUU